GACGAACGCUGGCGGCGUGCUUAACACAUGCAAGUCGAACGAGAGCGUAGAGAAAGCUUGCUUUUUCUACAAUCUAGUGGCAAACGGGUGAGUAACGCGUAAACAACCUGCCCUACGGAUGGGGACAACAGCUGGAAACGGCUGCUAAUACCGAAUACGUUCCGAAAGUCGCAUGACUGUCGGAAGAAAGGAUGGCCUCUAUUUAUAAGCUAUCGCCGGAGGAGGGGUUUGCGUCUGAUUAGCUAGUUGGAGGGGUAACGGCCCACCAAGGCGACGAUCAGUAGCCGGUCUGAGAGGAUGAACGGCCACAUUGGAACUGAGACACGGUCCAGACUCCUACGGGAGGCAGCAGUGGGGAAUCUUCCGCAAUGGGCGAAAGCCUGACGGAGCAACGCCGCGUGAGUGAAGACGGCCUUCGGGUUGUAAAGCUCUGUUAUACGGGACGAAUAAUCUUGUGGUUAAUACCCAUAAGAAGUGACGGUACCGUAAGAGAAAGCCACGG
Molecule: ribosomal RNA, 502 nt
Filed under: Megasphaera micronuciformis
Lineage: Bacteria; Bacillati; Bacillota; Negativicutes; Veillonellales; Veillonellaceae
Description: bacterial SSU rRNA
Rfam family: Bacterial small subunit ribosomal RNA
Source: RNAcentral